This 253-nucleotide ribosomal RNA is filed under the name uncultured microorganism. RNAcentral's name for it is "partial 16S ribosomal RNA". It matches the Rfam family "Bacterial small subunit ribosomal RNA", at positions 524 to 776 of the family's 1533-position model. The record is from RNAcentral.
UACGAAGGGUGCAAGCGUUAAUCGGAAUUACUGGGCGUAAAGCGCGCGUAGGUGGUUCGUUAAGUUGGAUGUGAAAGCCCCGGGCUCAACCUGGGAACUGCAUCCAAAACUGGCGAGCUAGAGUAUGGCAGAGGGUGGUAGAAUUUCCAGUGUAGCGGUGAAAUGCGUAGAUAUUGGAAGGAAUACCGGUGGCGAAGGCGGCCUUCUGGACUGACACUGACACUGAGGUGCGAAAGCGUGGGUAGCAAACAGG